UAGUGUUUUGAUCUGGUUUUAUGGCUUGCC
RNAcentral lists this non-coding RNA (30 nucleotides) under Mus musculus (house mouse). The record is from RNAcentral. Lineage: Eukaryota; Metazoa; Chordata; Mammalia; Rodentia; Muridae.